CGCAGCAAACGCAAUAAGUAGUCCAACCUGGGGAGUACGUUCGCAAGAAUGAACUCAAAGGAAUUGACGGGGAACCCGCACAAGCGGUGGAGCAUGUGGUUUAAUUCGAAAGCAACGCGAAGAACCUUACCUGCUCUUGACAUCCCGCUGACCGGACGGUAAUGCGUCCUUCCCUUCGGGGCAGCGGAGACAGGUGGUGCAUGGUUGUCGUCAGCUCGUGUCGUGAGAUGUUGGGUUAAGUCCCGCAACGAGCGCAACCCCUAUCCUUAGUAGCCAGCGGCCAGGCCGGGCACUCUAGAGAGACUGCCGGGGAUAACCCGGAGGAAGGUGGGGAUGACGUCAAAUCAUCAUGCCCCUUAUGAGCAGGGCUACACACGUGCUACAAUGGCGUAAACAAAGGGAAGCGAGACCGCGAGGUGGAGCAAAUCCCAAAAAUAACGUCUCAGUUCGGAUUGUAGUCUGCAACUCGACUACAUGAAGCUGGAAUCGCUAGUAAUCGCGAAUCAGAAUGUCGCGGUGAAUACGUUCCCGGGUCUUGUACACACCGCCCGUCACACCAUGGGAGUCAGUAACGCCCGAAGUCAGUGACCCAACCGUAAGGAGGGAGCUGCCGAAGGCGGGACCGAUAACUGGGGUGAAGUCGUAACAAGGUAACC
This 656-nucleotide ribosomal RNA is filed under the name uncultured Ruminococcus sp. RNAcentral describes it as "bacterial SSU rRNA". It matches the Rfam family "Bacterial small subunit ribosomal RNA", at positions 847 to 1501 of the family's 1533-position model. The record is from RNAcentral. Lineage: Bacteria; Bacillati; Bacillota; Clostridia; Eubacteriales; Oscillospiraceae.